This 429-nucleotide ribosomal RNA is filed under the name Actinomycetes bacterium. RNAcentral describes it as "Actinobacteria bacterium partial 16S ribosomal RNA". It matches the Rfam family "Bacterial small subunit ribosomal RNA", at positions 355 to 776 of the family's 1533-position model. Lineage: Bacteria; Bacillati; Actinomycetota; Actinomycetes. The record is from RNAcentral.
UAGGGAAUCUUCCGCAAUGGGCGAAAGCCUGACGGAGCAACGCCGCGUGAGUGAUGAAGGUCUUCGGAUCGUAAAACUCUGUUAUUAGGGAAGAACAAAUGUGUAAGUAACUAUGCACGUCUUGACGGUACCUAAUCAGAAAGCCACGGCUAACUACGUGCCAGCAGCCUCGGUAAUACGUAGGUGGCAAGCGUUAUCCGGAAUUAUUGGGCGUAAAGCGCGCGUAGGCGGUUUUUUAAGUCUGAUGUGAAAGCCCACGGCUCAACCGUGGAGGGUCAUUGGAAACUGGAAAACUUGAGUGCAUAAGAGAAAAGUGGAAUUCCAUGUGUAGCGGUGAAAUGCGCAGAGAUAUGGAGGAACACCAGUAGCGAAGGCGACUUUCUGGUCUGUAACUGACGCUGAUGUGCGAAAGCGUGGUGAUCAAACAGG